ACUCCUACGGGAGGCAGCAGUGGGGAAUAUUGCACAAUGGGCGCAAGCCUGAUGCAGCAACGCCGCGUGAGGGACGACGGCCUUCGGGUUGUAAACCUCUUUUAGUAGGGAAGAAGCGAAAGUGACGGUACCUGCAGAAAAAGCACCGGCUAACUACGUGCCAGCAGCCGCGGUAAUACGUAGGGUGCAAGCGUUAUCCGGAAUUAUUGGGCGUAAAGAGCUCGUAGGCGGUUUGUCGCGUCUGCUGUGAAAACUGGAGGCUCAACCUCCAGCCUGCAGUGGGUACGGGCAGACUAGAUUGCGGUAGGGGAGAUUGGAAUUCCUGGUGUAGCGGUGGAAUGCGCAGAUAUCAGGAGGAACACCGAUGGCGAAGGCAGAUCUCUGGGCCGUAACUGACGCUGAGGAGCGAAAGCAUGGGGAGCGAACAGGAUUAGAUACCCUGGUAGUCCAUGCCGUAAACGUUGGGAACUAGAUGUAGGGACCAUUCCACGGUUUCUGUGUCGCAGCUAACGCAUUAAGUUCCCCGCCUGGGGAGUACGGCCGCAAGGCUAAAACUCAAAGGAAUUGACGGGGGCCCGCACAAGCGGCGGAGCAUGCGGAUUAAUUCGAUGCAACGCGAAGAACCUUACCAAGGCUUGACAUAUACCGGAAAAGUUCAGAAAUGUUCUCCCCGCAAGGUCGGUAUACAGGUGGUGCAUGGUUGUCGUCAGCUCGUGUCGUGAGAUGUUGGGUUAAGUCCCGCAACGAGCGCAACCCUCGUUCUAUGUUGCCAGCACGUAAUGGUGGGAACUCAUAGGAGACUGCCGGGGUGAACUCGGA
RNAcentral lists this ribosomal RNA (819 nucleotides) under uncultured Actinomycetes bacterium. Its description in RNAcentral is "bacterial SSU rRNA". It matches the Rfam family "Bacterial small subunit ribosomal RNA", at positions 335 to 1167 of the family's 1533-position model. The record is from RNAcentral. Lineage: Bacteria; Bacillati; Actinomycetota; Actinomycetes.